Molecule: ribosomal RNA, 144 nt
Filed under: uncultured bacterium
Lineage: Bacteria
Description: partial 16S rRNA
Rfam family: Bacterial small subunit ribosomal RNA
Source: RNAcentral
CAGUGGGGAAUUUUCCGCAAUGGGCGAAAGCCUGACGGAGCAAUGCCGCGUGGAGGUGGAAGGCCUACGGGUCGUCAACUUCUUUUCUCGGAGAAGAAACGAUGACGGUAUCUGAGGAAUAAGCAUCGGCUAACUCUGUGCCAG